AAUCUUCCACAAUGGACGAAAGUCUGAUGGAGCAACGCCGCGUGAGUGAAGAAGGUUUUCGGAUCGUAAAGCUCUGUUGUAAGGGAAGAACAAGUACAGGAGUCACUGUCUGUACCUUGACGGUACCUUACCAGAAAGCCACGGCUAACUACGUGCCAGCAGCCGCGGUAAUACGGAGGGGGCAAGCGUUGUCCGGAAUUAUUGGGCGUAAAGCGGGCGCAGGGGGUCCCUUAAGGUUGGUGUGAAAGCCCACGGCUACACCGUGGGGGGUCAUUGGAAACUGGAGGACUUGAGUACAGAAGAGGAAAGCGGAAUUCCACGUUUAGGGGUGAAAUGCGUAGAGAUGUGGAGGAACACCAGUUGCGAAGGCGGCUUUCUGGUCUGUAACUGACGCUGAGGCGCGAAAGCGUGGGGGGCAAAC
RNAcentral lists this ribosomal RNA (421 nucleotides) under uncultured bacterium. RNAcentral describes it as "partial 16S ribosomal RNA". It matches the Rfam family "Bacterial small subunit ribosomal RNA", at positions 360 to 773 of the family's 1533-position model. The record is from RNAcentral.